UGGGGAAUAUUGCACAAUGGGCGAAAGCCUGAUGCAGCGACGCCGCGUGAGGGAUGACGGCCUUCGGGUUGUAAACCUCUUUCAGCAGGGACGAAGCGCAAGUGACGGUACCUGCAGAAGAAGCACCGGCUAACUACGUGCCAGCAGCCGCGGUAAUACGUAGGGUGCAAGCGUUGUCCGGAAUUACUGGGCGUAAAGAGUUCGUAGGCGGUUUGUCGCGUCGUUUGUGAAAACCAGCAGCUCAACUGCUGACUUGCAGGCGAUACGGGCAGACUUGAGUACUGCAGGGGAGACUGGAAUUCCUGGUGUAGCGGUGAAAUGCGCAGAUAUCAGGAGGAACACCGGUGGCGAAGGCGGGUCUCUGGGCAGUAACUGACGCUGAGGAACGAAAGCGUGGGUAGCGAACAGG
Molecule: ribosomal RNA, 409 nt
Filed under: bacterium
Lineage: Bacteria
Description: partial 16S ribosomal RNA
Rfam family: Bacterial small subunit ribosomal RNA
Source: RNAcentral